UUGUUGAGAAAGCUUCUCCUAGAGUUAAGAGAAAAGAAAAGAAUGAUUAGAACAAGGGUUUAAAAGAUUCAUGAAUGCAAAGGGUAGAGUUAAGUUCUUAUGUUGGGAUUGGAGAUGGGAUUACCAUUAGAGCUUCAUUUGAUAUACUCUGGGUAGAUGGGAUCUUAUCUCUGUAUGCAUAGCUUGGGACUUACCUUUAGCAUUCUACUAAAGCUUAAUCAUUUUUCUUGAGAGAUCCCCUGUUACUGAAGCCUAUUCUGUAAGGGACCAUCUUUGUUUCUUGACCUUUUACCUUAGCCAAAUGAGUUCAUUGAUGAUGCAUUUCUUGAUUCACGUUCCAGAACUAAUAAAUGUUAUAGGGAUUGGUAGAUUUGAAAAUAUGUGUAGGUCGAGCAUAUGAGUCAGAUUGAUUGAUAAUGAGGCAUGGCUAACGUUUUUAAGUAGAAUUCGAUCUUGCAGCUUAGAACUUUCAACUUGGACAUUGAUUUCAUCUGGUCUAUCUGGUGCUUUGGCUCUAAGUCCCCGCUUUCAAACCUCACCUCCAGCUUGUUCUUGAUUGUUUGCUUGAGGGCAAGCAAAGACUAAGUUUGGGGGAGUUGAUAAGUGUGUAUUUUGCAUGUUUUGAGCAUCCAUUUGUCAUCACUGUUUUAUACCAUUUCUCAUCAUUUGUCAUCACUUUACAUGUUUAGGAUAGAUUUGCAUGCAUGUUGCAUAUUUGCGUUGAUUUCAUGUGAUUUGGAGCUGUUGACGAGCUAUCUGGAAGAAGCGGGCCUGAUCAUGUCAAACCACUCGACCCCGAGGUCGAGUAGAAGCUUCAAGAUCUCAAUAGAUCACUCGACCCCCUGGUCGAGUAGAGGACAUCACUACUUGAUCACAUCACUCGACCCCGAGGUCGAGUGUCUUCAUCCCAUCACCUGACAAUAACUCGAUCACAUCACUCCACCCCGAGGCCGAGUGUCUUCACCUUCAUUGCCAGAACACUACUCGACCUCUUCACUCUACCUGGAAGUCGAGUAUCACCAUCACCACCACUCGACUGCAUACUCGAUGACAAGCUUCAGAGCCUUCUUCAUUCCGGACUCAACCAGACACUCGAGCACAAGGAAGAAAAGAAGACUCCAGUUAUUCACUCGACCACCCACUCAACCACAUGGGUCGAGUACAGUUCUUAAUCCGUCCUAAUACUGCGUCGUUUUAAGUAUUAGGGUUUCAGAAUAUUUGGCUAUAAGUAGCAUGUACUUCACAUUUUCGCAGACAAGUUUUUAUCUAGUUUUAUUUCCGCAGACCUUAUGUUCUAGACCUUUUGUAAUCCAGAUUUCUCUUUAUCUAUUCAGUAUUCAGUAUUCAGCUUUUGUUCUUGAUUUCGUUUACUGUUGUUCAUUCUGUUAUCAUCCUGCUGUUACACUGUUGUUAUCAUGUUUUCAUCUUGUUCAACGUUUUUGUUCUCCGCAAUGAUGUCUGAGUAGUGAAUAGGUUUCUGAGGAUGGGUUAGAGUAGUGUAGAAUUCUCAGUAUGCUAGGUGAUUGAGUAUUGAUUGAUAGAUCCCUUCUGGAUUAGUUAUUCUUAAUGCCUAUUGCUUUCUGAUCAACCAGAAUUUGAGCCCAGACAUUUCCGCGCCCAAAAGGUGUUCGAUGAAAUGUCUGAACCAAUAAUUCCAGAGAUUCGUGACCAUGUACCAAGGUAUUGGUUGCAGGGAGCGUUUUGGCUUUAACUUGUUGAUUCGUAAUGCCUGUUAGGUUAGCUCUCGUCAAUGGUGAUUGAGUCUGGGACUAGGUUAACUUGAGAGUCUCUGUUGCGGUGGCACUUAGAUUUGGUUAAUGAACUUGUUGUCUAGGGUUAAUUUAUUGAGCAUGUCAAUCACCUGUAAACUGAGGAAACGAAACUACUCAAUUAAACCAUCCUCGGGAAUUCUUUAUCUGAUUGAAUUCUUUGUUUACUCUACUGUUGUUUACUGCAUCUUGUCAUCUGUUGCUUAGUUUCUGCAAUUCUUUACUGUUACUCGACCUGAUACUCGACCACCCAGUUGUCUGGCAACAGACUGUGCAGUCGAGUAUCCCUGUUAUAUUUUCUGUCUAUUACUCGACCUGUCACUCGACCUCACCCAGUGCUUUGCAAAGAGCUGUGUUGGUCGAGUGUUUUAUUGUUUCUGCUUGAAUUUUUGUUUACUACAUGUUCACUUAGAACUGCUAGAACACACCAAAACCUGUUAUUGCUUGGCUUGACUUAGUGACUUCUGAUCACAUCUUGAUUGUUAGCAUCACACCCAUUUGGAUUGACAACCUAAAAUAUUACAACGAUAUGAUUGGUGUUUUAGGAUAAUUGACUAAAAACCUAUUAUCAGUUAU
RNAcentral lists this small RNA (2345 nucleotides) under Arabidopsis thaliana (thale cress). Its description in RNAcentral is "ATSL167400". Lineage: Eukaryota; Viridiplantae; Streptophyta; Magnoliopsida; Brassicales; Brassicaceae. The record is from RNAcentral.